Molecule: non-coding RNA, 173 nt
Filed under: Deltaproteobacteria bacterium
Lineage: Bacteria; Pseudomonadati; Myxococcota; Myxococcia
Description: 6S RNA
Rfam family: 6S / SsrS RNA
About the family: E. coli 6S RNA was the first non coding RNA to be sequenced, but its function was unknown until recently.
Source: RNAcentral
AAUCCUCUGGGAUGUUAGUUACGCUGCGAUAAGUGACUCAGCUGUACCAGAAAAUAGGGAUUCAGCUCUCGUUGUGGUGUGCAAGCCAUUCAGUUGGAAGCCUGAAGCAGCGAUAUGAAACCCACUUGCAGCGUCAGCGAGUCACCGCUACUCCACGGCAUCCUGGAGGGUUU